This 440-nucleotide ribosomal RNA is filed under the name Adaiphrotermes sp. 1 BH-2011. RNAcentral's name for it is "partial 28S ribosomal RNA". The record is from RNAcentral. Lineage: Eukaryota; Metazoa; Arthropoda; Insecta; Blattodea; Termitidae.
GGGGAGAUUCAGCCACGUGCGCAACGACCCGCCCAGGGGUGUAAGAUCCGGAUGGCCACGGCCGCCGGACGCGCCGCAAGGGGCGUUCCGGUGCGAGUCUCGGUCACCGGCCGCUCUUGUGGUUCUGAGGUCGCGGAAGGUGCCUUUCUUAUCCCAGGUUGGGCGUCGCGACCCGUUGGAGGAGCAAGCAAGGGCACAGCGGCCUAAGGCCCGGGACAGAGCCCGGGGAUGCUUYCAUCGAGGCGCGUAACAAAAAGCGCCCUCAGACCCCGGUUUAAAGCCCGGCCGCCCUCCGACGGUCUUCAGAUGAARGAGGAAACAGGCCGGCUACUUCUCUUCACGAGGAGCUAGAGCSUCCRACCCGUCGGGGCAAGYUCUCCGGGGUUAAAAUUCGGGUGUUUGCAUGUCCCCUAACGCCCCCGGAUCCCGGUUGGCUGUCU